UACGGAGGGUGCAAGCAUUGAUCGGAAUUACUGGGCGUAAAGGGCGCGUAGGCGGUAGGAAAAGUCAGAUGUGAAAUUCCGGGGCUCAACCCCGGAGCUGCAUUUGAAACUCUCUUGCUAGAGUACAGUUAGGGUAAACGGAAUUCCACGUGUAGCGGUGAAAUGCGUAGAUAUGUGGAAGAACACCGGUGGUGAAGACGGUUUACUGGGCUGUAACUGACGCUGAGGCGCGAAAGCAUGGGGAUCAAAC
Molecule: ribosomal RNA, 250 nt
Filed under: uncultured bacterium
Lineage: Bacteria
Description: partial 16S ribosomal RNA
Rfam family: Bacterial small subunit ribosomal RNA
Source: RNAcentral